GGAAGAUAUAACACAUAUU
RNAcentral lists this small nuclear RNA (19 nucleotides) under Arabidopsis thaliana (thale cress). RNAcentral's name for it is "snRNA_12810". The record is from RNAcentral. Lineage: Eukaryota; Viridiplantae; Streptophyta; Magnoliopsida; Brassicales; Brassicaceae.